GCAAUGCAUACACAGGAAGGAAAUGGCAGGUUGUUCAUAUGUAGCAAGAUCCACACUUGGCCAAACCUGGGGUCACAGAGAUGGACAUGGAAUUGAGGGCAGAAGAUCUGGGUUGGAGUCCAGCACUGCUUUAGGGUCAGAGAGGAGGGAGAAAGCUGUGCUCAACAAGAUGCUGGCAGUGUCAGGAGUUGGCCUCAUGCCCUCUGGGUUAAGAGAUAUCGAAUGCUGUUUUGUCAAGAGCUGCUUUCUUGGGCCCCUCCAAGGUUCUCCUUGUUGGGCUCUCCUGCAGAUCCCUUGUCCUGGUAGGUGUACCUCCAUCCCAAGUGACUGCUGGUCACUGCUUCCCCCUACUAAGGUCAAAAGAAACCUAGAGGCUGAACAUACUUCCAAGCACCUGGGCCUCCGUGUCUUCACCAAGGCCUUCCUUUUUGACCCUGCACUUGCUGAUGUCAGCAGCUACUUAAUCAGAAAGAUCAACUCAACAUUUUCCCUUGACCCAAUUAGAUUAUCGAAUCUCCAAUAA
Molecule: long non-coding RNA, 523 nt
Filed under: Macaca mulatta (Rhesus monkey)
Lineage: Eukaryota; Metazoa; Chordata; Mammalia; Primates; Cercopithecidae
Description: lncRNA (ENSMMUG00000050482.1)
Source: RNAcentral